This 53-nucleotide ribosomal RNA is filed under the name Hodophilus foetens. RNAcentral's name for it is "partial large subunit ribosomal RNA". The record is from RNAcentral. Lineage: Eukaryota; Fungi; Basidiomycota; Agaricomycetes; Agaricales; Clavariaceae.
UUGACUUGACCUCAAAUCAGGUAGGACUACCCGCUGAACUUAAGCAUAUCAUA